This is a long non-coding RNA of Syngnathoides biaculeatus (alligator pipefish), 2737 nucleotides long. RefSeq lists it as uncharacterized. The record is from RefSeq and is a predicted model, not a curated record. The transcript has 6 exons. NCBI's taxonomy places the organism in Eukaryota, Metazoa, Chordata, Actinopteri, Syngnathiformes, Syngnathidae.
UCAAUAUGGCGGCUUUGGGGGCGAGGUUGUUAAUAACUACUUGUAACUUUUUUUUUUUACAUCAAGCAUUUAUUUUAUAAAUAGAUGAAAAACAAUCCCAUUUUAUGCGUUAAAUCGAUGACGCACUUCCGUCGUUAUACGUCGACGCGCACGUGCGUGUGGACGCGCAUGUGGGGGGGACCGCUUGCAUUGUAAAGAAAAUUAGGAAAAGGAUUGUGGAAGGCGAAGAGUUUCACAAAUCAAGCAAUAUGCACGGCUUUUCUUCGUCUACCUUGACAAUGUGCAGUUUGGGCAGGAGGUUGCAGUCGGCCAGCGUGAGCCGGUUUCCGUCCAGAAAGUUUCUCCUGGACGGCUUUUCCUCCUCGGCGCUGUUGCCGUCGACCUCGUCAGGCAGCGGACUGUUCAGUAUGUCACCCUGUAGUUCCCACAAUGCGGCGUGCUGCCUCACCGUCGUUGGCGUCCAUUUUGGUGUUCUUGAUGAAGGCGGAGAACUUUGCGAAGAUGUCGUUGCCGGCCGUGUUGGACUCCCUCUGCUUGGCUGCCAGUUUGGGUCCGUCCAGAUUUGAACAGCACGCCGGCGGCGUGAUGGCUCACCUCUUGAGGUCCACGGUGGUGACGUUGAAGACGACCCCUUUGAGCCACAAGAUCAUGAAGAGGCGCUGGGAGAACGGACAGUUGCCAAUGCUCUCGCCGUCGCUGCCCGCCUGGAAACAAUUCGGCAUCAUUAUAACGCAUCCCACCCGUCGAGUCCCUGGGGCGGGGGUGCCUGAGGCGAACGCCGGAGGAGGAUGCAGAACAAGAGGAGAAGAAGAAGCCACACGUCGCUGAGCAUCACAUGUAACUUUACCUCUGCUACAGGCUCCCUGUCUGGAUCUGCCAUGUUUCUCCUUCUGUGCCAAACACGUGAACGUGUCACUCCGCUACAUUCUACCUUGAAACUUCACAAAUGGUCCCGGUGUCGAAAUCCGACUGUGCGCUGAAGAGGACCCGAAGUGGUCCUAAAGUCAGCUGAUGGGUCGCGGAUGCGGACUGAGGUCAGAUUUGUUUAGUAGUGCAGCUGUAACGCAAGCGGCAAGCCGUUGAACUAUACUGAGUGGUAGCAGGUGGCAAGCUGUACUGCAUUGGUUUGGGGGGUGGGGGGGGGUGUAUGGUCCCAAGAGAGCCUGAGCUCCAUUUCUUAAUACCACGAGUUCACCUUUGUAACAAGUGGAGAAAGUCAACACAAAUCUCUCGUUAAAAAAAAAAAAAAAAAACUUGAGAUGAUGAACACAUAUAAUACAGUAAUUGCAAUUACAUCAUAUAUAUAUGGAUUAUUUUAAACAGUAUCCACGGUACAAUGACAAAAUCUGACCUAAAACCUAUAUAAUUGUAAAUGGCAAAAAUUGGGGGGGGUUCGGGACAUACCGUAAUUUCCGCCCUACAAGCCGCGACUAUUUUCACACACCAGCCUGCAGUUUAUGCGGCGAUCCGGUGCUAGCGUUAGCGAGGUGCUAGCGUUAAACUUGACUUCCUGAUUCCAUUUUUUGGGUGUGAUUACAAUUUAUAGCAUGCACAUGAUGUAAUAUUCAUUAUUAAACAUCUGCAAACCUCGUGAAUUAACUUUUUUCCUCCUGCAAACUCAAAUCAUGAUAUUUAACGCCAUUUGUCCCCUUUUUUAAUUCCUGUCGCCCAAACGUUUCCAAAACUGAACAAAUGUCACGAAAUACAAAAUAAAUAAACCAUAUUUAUAUCUGACAGAUUAGCUAUUUAAAGAUGGUGGUAAAAAUCAGUCACUUGUCAGGCUAAUCAUAAACAGGCCUGUCAAACAGUAACGUUUCGAAAACUGCAGCAACUGAAGCGCGUCGACGUCUUCAGAAACCUGGAAAAAGUCGCAGUUCCCGAAAAAGGCGCAGAGGCAACUCGCGACAAAGAAUAAAGAAAUAAAAAUGUAAAACAUAUUUCAAAUUCAAUAAGAAAAGUAAGAUUUCAUUUGUUUACUAAAACAAAAAUAAUUUAUAAGGAGCAACGACAAUGAUGUCAAAAAAAAUAUUUUGGGAGUGUGCAAAAAUAAAAAUUAUAAAUUGAAGAACAUUUUUAUGUAUAUUUGUUACAUUGAAUUUAUUACCUAAAAUAUUGCUUUUUUUUAAAAAAGUCAGUUUCGAGAAAAGGCAUAAUAACAACAAUGGCAAAUUGCUAAAAAAAAAAAAAAAGUGACUUUGAAUUGUCAAAGAGUGAAUUGUUUAACAUUAUUUUAGUAGUAUUUAGCGGGUGGUUUUACACAUAAAAGUUGAGUUUUAAAAUGUCACUUGAAACAUUUUUCUCUAUUCCAGUCAGUGAAGGUUUAAAGAUGGCGAGAGUUUGACCCUGAAACCUAAUACGUCUUAAUUUUUCCAUAACUUACUAUGGUUGCUUUUUUUUUUUUAAAUGGAAGUGCGGAGAACAGUGCAAAACUCGGGCGUGGCACUCCACACCGGUGCCCUCUGCCCACCGUAAAUCUCGGAAUGUUGGGUGCAGAUAAGAUAUACCUGUCAUAAAUGUGAGGACGCGCCCGCGAGGGUCACUGCAAAGAUCGGGACUCGUAUUUUAACCAAACGUUGUCCUAGAACGGACACGGCGUAUACAACAGGAUUCUGGAACGGCAACUUGAGGCAUUUAUAGGAUGAAAGACCGCCAGACAUGAACAUGGGACCUUUUGGGGAACUGAGAAGCGGAAGCGCACACAAGUUCAAGUGGUGACCUUUGAACUGGCGGCGUAGAG